UACGUAGGGCGCAAGCGUUGUCCGGAAUUAUUGGGCGUAAAGAGCUCGUAGGCGGCUUGUCACGUCGGGUGUGAAAGCCCGGGGCUUAACCCCGGGUCUGCAUUCGAUACGGGCUGGCUGGAGUGUGGUAGGGGAGAUCGGAAUUCCUGGUGUAGCGGUGAAAUGCGCAGAUAUCAGGAGGAACACCGGUGGCGAAGGCGGUGGUCUGGGCCGGCACUGACGCUGAGGAGCGAAAGCGUGGGUAGCAAACAGG
This 253-nucleotide ribosomal RNA is filed under the name uncultured bacterium. RNAcentral's name for it is "partial 16S ribosomal RNA". It matches the Rfam family "Bacterial small subunit ribosomal RNA", at positions 524 to 776 of the family's 1533-position model. The record is from RNAcentral.